Molecule: long non-coding RNA, 494 nt
Filed under: Homo sapiens (human)
Lineage: Eukaryota; Metazoa; Chordata; Mammalia; Primates; Hominidae
Description: HSALNT0405665
Source: RNAcentral
UUUUUUUCAUGAUGGCUGCCCCCAAGGGUCUUCUGCUGGUUGCUCUAGUCUUGCUACUUGGUGCUUUGGGGAGGAUGCACAAGUGGCAGGUCCGAUGACAGGUGCUCCAACACCUUGUCCCCGGCCCCCCCUUACCAAACAAACAUAAUAAAGCAAAUAGACAACUGUCCUGGUAAACCAGGCUCCAAAGAGUUAAAGAAACCAAAGACUAAAUUCUUGGACUUACAGAAUAGCAGAUAAGAAAAGAAAGAACUUGCUGAAAAGCUGAAACUAAGACUGUGCCCCGAAGAGUAAGAAACCAGUAACAGAAAUUCUUGAGUUUGCAGGAUAGCAGAUAAGAAAAGAAACAGCUUGCCGAAACACGGACACUCCCUGCACUUACGAGAUCAAGAAAAAAACUGGCUGAUGGCCGGGCCCGGUGCCUCAAGCCUGUAACCCCAGCACUUUGGGAGGCCAAGGUUCUCACUCUGUCACCCAGGCUAAAGUGCAGUGGU